AUGGCUUCCAAGCAGACGGUGCAUAUGAAUCAAGGACAAGGGGAAACAAGCUAUGCUCGCAACUCCGGUAUUCAGAAUGCUCUGCAGAACAGGCUGAGCCUGAUAGAAGCAGCCAUCGUUGAGUUAUGCAGCAAGAAUAACACCUCAUUCCCUGAAAAAAUGCUGAUCGCGGACUUGGGCUGCUCCUCUGGACCAAACGCGCUAGCACUGGUAUCGAUUGCCGUCGAGGCCAUCCAUAGCCACUGCCUUCAGUUACAGCAGCCACCACCUGAAGUGUGCGUGCUCCUCAAUGACCUGCCUGACAAUGACUUCAACACUGUGGUGAAGAACCUGGUCAUGCUCCAUCAAAGCAACAAGCCUGCUGUUGUGACUGUUGGGAUCACGCCGGGGUCGUUUUAUGAGAGGCUCUUCACUAGUGGCUCCAUGCAUCUUUUAUGCUCGUCCAACAGCCUGAAUUGGCUCUCAAAGGUUCCUGAAGAUCUAAUGAGGAACUGGAUUCCGGCUUACGACGUUGAUGAGCAUGCUAGGAGUGAAAGGCUCCCUAUGGUCCUUGAGGCUUAUGCACAACAAUUCAGGAAAGACUACACUCUUUUCUUGGAGCUGAGAGCCAAAGAACUAGUCUCAGGAGGCCGGAUGGUUGUUUCCCUUGCAGGGAGGCGUUCUGAUGGCCGUGCUUCGAAAUUCUCUCACGUGUGGGAAAUCUUUGCUCAAAUUCUAAGUGUCAUGGCCUCGGAGGGCGUGAUUGACAAAGUGAAGUAUGAUUCGUUCUACGUGCCGGUGUAUGGACCUUCGGAUGAAGAGCUCCGGAAGAUCAUCCAAGCAGAGGGCUCCUUUUCGAUCACCGAGAUGCGGGUGCACGACUUUUCACGGGGUCGGGACAACGCUCUCAUCACCACAAGCUGGUACACGAACCAGAUGAGAGCCGCGUUUGAGCCGAUAGUCGUGCAUCAUUUCGGAGAUGUGAUGGAUGAAUUUGUGAGGACCGUGGAGCGGCGCUGGAGUGUGGAGGGAAGCUUGCAGGACGAGGUUGGCAGAUACCCGCGGGCUCAGCUUGUGGCGUCGCUCACGAAGAAGGCGUGCUGA
This 1083-nucleotide ribosomal RNA is filed under the name Triticum aestivum (bread wheat). RNAcentral's name for it is "partial small subunit ribosomal RNA". Lineage: Eukaryota; Viridiplantae; Streptophyta; Magnoliopsida; Poales; Poaceae. The record is from RNAcentral.